This 68-nucleotide transfer RNA is filed under the name Marmota monax (woodchuck). RNAcentral's name for it is "tRNA.Ala". Lineage: Eukaryota; Metazoa; Chordata; Mammalia; Rodentia; Sciuridae. The record is from RNAcentral.
GGGGUUGUGGUCAGUGGUAGAACGCUUGCCUCGCAUGUGAGACACUGGGUUCAAUUCUCAGCACCGCA